GCCAAAUAUAUUUGGUGGCUCUCUGUGCCCAAAAGAGACAUCAAAUGACGGCCAAUCAAUCCAGCAUGUAUGGCCUCUAAAUGACUAUGACCGAAGACUGUCGGCCAAAUUUCCUAGUGCAUGUAGCAUGGCCUUUGUUCUACCCAGGAUCUUGACUGUUGUACUGGAAACUGGAAAUUGGAACCAACAUUAUUUGAUUCUAUUAGAUUUACUUUGAAAAGACAUAAUUGUUUUCCAGUUAAAAGUCACAGUGCUAUGAAAUAUUUCUGCAUGUUAACUUUCUACAAGAGUAAAACACUUUUCUUAAUAAAGACCAGCUUUUCUGCUAGCCAAAUAUGGAUCCACCACUGGCAAAACACAUGUGUAAAAUGAGAUGUUCCUUUACAGAUGUUCCUUUCCGCUAUACGUUUUCUUGGUUUUCUUCUCAUGCAAUCAUUUAUUUUGGUGACUGUUUACAACGCUACAAUAAAUUCAACCCCAAGGAUGGGUUUUGUCCUAGAGGUCAGACCCACGGCUUGCCUACUUCAAGAAGUGCCAACAGGUACUCCCUGACAUAUUCAUCAUAGUGCACAAAUUAGAUCAGGAGACACACAGGCUGUGUACAGACAUACGCAAUGGGGACAGCAAGCCAGCAAGAGAAGCACGUUUGUCCUCCAUGCUUUCUAGAAACAAUCUUUUUUUCCCAGGAGGGAGCUCAGAAAGAACCUACAGUAUUGUGUUCUGGCUUCACCCUCUUCCCAGCAGAACCCAGUCAUACAGACAUGCUAAUUCUUUCAUCCCAGAAAGGAUAUGCCAACUCCACCUCUGGCUUUCCACAGGAGUUUUACAACUUUUAAAAAAGAUUGGGGUGGGGAGGGAGAAAAAUGUUCUAUGUCAGGGCUUGGGAACCUAUGGCUCUCCAAACUGAACACUAAAUCCCCAUCAGGCCCAAUUAGCCCAGCUAACAGUGAGGCAUGAUGGGUGCUGCAGUUCAUCAACAUCUGGAGAACCACAGGUUCCAACUUCCAAUCAAUACCUGUUUUCAUUUAAAAAGCCAAUCAAAAGCACAGGAGGUGAAGAGUCAUACAGAUCAGCAUCCACACUGCUGACACACCGGUAAAUACAUAGUUACAUGUAAUGCAAAGAGAGAACCCAGACUCACUGUAUGUGUGUGUGUGGGAGGGG
RNAcentral lists this long non-coding RNA (1164 nucleotides) under Pogona vitticeps (central bearded dragon). RNAcentral's name for it is "lncRNA (ENSPVIG00000022929.1)". The record is from RNAcentral. Lineage: Eukaryota; Metazoa; Chordata; Lepidosauria; Squamata; Agamidae.